AUUGAACGCUGGCGGCGGGCCUAACACAUGCAAGUCGAACGAUAACAGGAAGAGGCUUGCUUCUUUGCUUACGCGUCGCGGACGGGUGAGUAAUGUCUGGGAAACUGCCUGAUGGAGGGGGUUACCUACUGGAAACGGUAGCUAAUACCGCAUAACGUCGCAACACCAAAGAUAGGGACCGUCAGGCCUCUUUCCUUCGGCUGUGACCAGGUGGGAUUAGCUAGUAGGUAGGGUAACGGCUAACCGAGGCGACGAUCCGUAGCCGGUCUGAGAGGAUGAUCAGCCACACUGGAACUGAGACACGGUCCAGACUCCUACGGGAGGCAGCAGUGGGGAAUCUUGCACAAUGGGCGAAAGCCUGACGGAGCCACGCCGCGUGUAUGAAGAAGGUCUUCGGGUUGUAAAGCACUUUUAGCGGGGAGGAAGGGAGGAAAGUGAAUCUAUGCGCGUAUUGACGUUACCUGAACAAGAAGCCACGGCUAACUCCGUG
RNAcentral lists this ribosomal RNA (490 nucleotides) under uncultured bacterium. Its description in RNAcentral is "partial 16S ribosomal RNA". It matches the Rfam family "Bacterial small subunit ribosomal RNA", at positions 30 to 507 of the family's 1533-position model. The record is from RNAcentral.